GGAAGCGGCGGACGGGUGAGUAACGCGUGGGUAACCUGCCCUAUGCAGGGGGAUGACACAUUGAAAAGUGUGCUAAUACCGCAUAAGACCACAGAGUCGCAUGACUUGGUGGUAAAAACUCCGGUAGCAUAGGAUGGACCCGCGUGUGAUUAGCUAGUAGGUAAGGUAACGGCUUACCUAGGCGACGAUCAGUAGCCGACCUGAGAGGGUGAUCGGCCACAUUGGGACUGAGACACGGCCCAAACUCCUACGGGAGGCAGCAGUGGGGAAUAUUGCACAAUGGGGGAAACCCUGAUGCAGCGACGCCGCGUGAAGGAAGAAGGUUUUCGGAUCGUAAACUUCUAUCAGCAGGGAAGAUAGUGACAGUACCUGACUAAGAAGCCCCGGCUAACUACGUGCCAGCAGCCGCGGUAAUACGUAGGGGGCAAGCGUUAUCCGGAUUUACUGGGUGUAAAGGGUGCGUAGGCGGCGAAGUAAGUCAGAUGUGAAAGCCCGAGGCUCAACCUCGGGACUGCAUUUGAAACUGCUUUGCUAGAGUGCAGGAGAGGAAAGCGGAAUUCCUAGUGUAGCGGGAAAUGCGUAGAUAUUAGGAGGAACACCAGUGGCGAAGGCGGCUUUCUGGACUGUAACUGACGCUGAGGCACGAAAGCGUGGGGAGCGAACAGGAUUAGAUACCCUGGAGCCACGCCGUAAACGAUGAAUGCUAGUGUCGGGGUCGAACCUCGGUGCCGCAGCAAACGCAUUAAGCAUUCCACCUGGGGAGUACGAUCGCAAGAUUGAAACUCAAAGGAAUUGACGGGGGGCCCGCACAAGCGGCGGAGCAUGUGGUUAAUUCGAAGCAACGCGAAGAACCUUACCAAAUCUUGACAUCCUUCUGACC
Molecule: ribosomal RNA, 880 nt
Filed under: Hespellia sp. TSAR23
Lineage: Bacteria; Bacillati; Bacillota; Clostridia; Lachnospirales; Lachnospiraceae
Also listed under: 1 other name
Description: bacterial SSU rRNA
Rfam family: Bacterial small subunit ribosomal RNA
Source: RNAcentral